GGAUUUCCAUAAACUUGAGGGACUAGACUCAAAAAAAUGGGGUUUCUUUUGUAAUUUACUGAAAAUAGGGGACUGAAAGUGAGAUAAUGGAAAAAUGGGAGGGUUUGAUGGAUAUUCAUCAAACCCUAUACCUAAAUCAUGCGCCUCUCCACUCCUUUGACUGAUUCCCCACGCCUCUUUCUCCCUUUGACUGAAAUCAUGCGCCUCUUUCUCUCCCUUGGUUCCGCCUUGCUGAUAUCUCUCGGUUCCUCGGCCAUUAAUGUCGGCAGUCGCCGAGCUGCUGCUUCCUCGGCCAUCUCGGCCAUCUACGCCGGCAGCCUCGCCGCUAGCCGGGUUGCCGGUCGCGUUUUCUCCCCCUCCUCUCUCGGAAUUCUCGGCUCUACCCACUGCUACUGCCGAUCCGGCGGUCUUUCGGCCAUCAAUGCCGGCCGCCGCCUUCCCUUUUGCUUCCCACCAUUCGGGGUAGCCUAUGAGUCGAAAACAUCCCUCCUUGGUGUGCCUCGUCAUUCCACAGUGAGUGCAAACGAGCUUGGAUUUUUCCUUUGUUUUCGAUGAUGAUAUGCCGGGGCCUCUGCCGCCGGUGGUGCCGACAGCGUGUGGUGGUCGGCCUUGUGUUCCAGAUUGGUAGCGGGAGAAGGCGAGUCCAGCCCCUAUAUCUCCCGAUGAUGAGCCUCUAUUUUCGGUAGAGUUGGUUGCCGGCUGCAGGAUCUGUAGCCGGGCGGCCUCUCGUCUUACUUUUGAAAAAGCCGAUUCGGCUGAGGGAAUGGGAGUCUCUUUGAGGAUGUCUCGCCGGAUGUUAUCGUAUUUCCGAUCCAACCCAGAGAGGAAUUGAUAGAGUCUCCGGUUCUCGAUCAAUUUCCGGUAUUUAUUGAUUCCUUCUUCACAACAUCCGAGAGGGUUUGGCUCCCUUCGAUCGAUGGUGAGCCAAAUCGCCUGCAGUUCGUUCCAAUAAUCCUCCAGAUAGUCGGGAUCCGUUGUUUUUGGAGGUGGUGGUCGGCCGGUGAUGUGGCUGGAUUUCCCUCUACUCCCUAUGGCCACCUUCAUGAGACGAGCCCAUAGGGCGUAGUUAUUGCCAUCAAGCUUGAUUCCCAGCGAGAUGGUGUUUGAGUUUUGCACUAAAUUUGCAAUCUGUAGUGAUAAUUCUUGUGAGGCUGUUGUUUUUGGAUCGGUAAUUUGGGUUUCUUCUGACAUGUUUUGUUUUGUGGUUUGUUUUCAGGAGAAACAGCGUGAGAUAAGAACAGGUUUGAUCGAAAAAAAAGGUUUGAGUAAGGGAUUUGGAAACUAUGAUGAUAAUUUUCUGAGUUUCAAGGAUUUAACCUUGCUCUGAUACCAUGUUAAAAAACAUGUUAUCAUCAUAGAAGAGAGAAUUUGUUUCUUGAAUAUUGUUCUUGUAUUUCUUUUUCUUGAUAUUUCCUGCUGAUACAAUCAUCCCCUUUUAUAGUGUUUAGAAAGGGAGCUGAUAUUCUACAACAUCAUGAGGAACCCUACAACAUCAUGAGGAUUCCUACAACA
Long non-coding RNA from Salvia miltiorrhiza (redroot sage), 1512 nucleotides. RefSeq lists it as uncharacterized. The record is from RefSeq and is a predicted model, not a curated record. The transcript is spliced from 2 exons. NCBI's taxonomy places the organism in Eukaryota, Viridiplantae, Streptophyta, Magnoliopsida, Lamiales, Lamiaceae.